RNAcentral lists this ribosomal RNA (630 nucleotides) under uncultured bacterium. RNAcentral describes it as "bacterial SSU rRNA". It matches the Rfam family "Bacterial small subunit ribosomal RNA", at positions 338 to 959 of the family's 1533-position model. The record is from RNAcentral.
CCUACGGGAGGCAGCAGUGGGGAAUUUUGGACAAUGGGCGCAAGCCUGAUCCAGCAAUGCCGCGUGCAGGAUGAAGGCCUUCGGGUUGUAAACUGCUUUUGUACGGAACGAAACGGUGAGCUCUAAUACAGUUUGCUAAUGACGGUACCGUAAGAAUAAGCACCGGCUAACUACGUGCCAGCAGCCGCGGUAAUACGUAGGGUGCGAGCGUUAAUCGGAAUUACUGGGCGUAAAGCGUGCGCAGGCGGUGAUGUAAGACAGAUGUGAAAUGCCCGGGCUCAACCUGGGACCUGCAUUUGUGACUGCAUCGCUAGAGUACGGUAGAGGGGGAUGGAAUUCCGCGUGUAGCAGUGAAAUGCGUAGAUAUGCGGAGGAACACCGAUGGCGAAGGCAAUCCCCUGGACCCUGUACUGACGCUCAUGCACGAAAGGCGGGGGAGACAAACGAGGAUUAGACUACCCGUGGUACGUCCACGACCCUAAACGAUGUCAACUGGUUGUUGGGUCUUCACUGACUCAGUAACGAAGCUAACGCGUGAAGUUGACCGCCGUGGGGAGUCGGCCGCGAAGGUUGAAACUCGAAAGGAUUAGACGGNGNGAGAGNGCGACGGACGACGACGAGGGGAGGAGG